AGAAGCAAAGCAAGCCUGAAAAUAUGACUUCAACUUUUCCAUCAAGUUGCAGAUUGAGGGUGGAGUCCUGUGAUUUUCAGGCUCUUCAAGUUAACAAUACUUGCAAAGAUGAAGAUGGAAUUCUCUGUCAUCCAUGAAGGAACAAUAAUUCAACUCCAAAUUUAAGCAAUCAUGCAAGUACUUUUGCUUGAGACCAAUGUUGUACUUCAGUGUGUAGCAGAAGUGCUUUAUACAUAUUUCUCAUCUAUUCACAUGGACUAUUUAAGAGAAGUGUACUCCUCAGCUAUCAAGAUUUUUAAAUUUUAUUAAUUUGUAUUGCUUCAUCAAGGAAAGUUCAGUGAAAAUGGCAUUUUUAAGUAACUGUGAGUGCGUGGCAGUGAAGAAUUCAGUGACUACUGGGACAACUUGGCAUUGCAACCAUGAUUUGAGCUAAGGCACCAGUAAUUUUAUCCAUCAUUGCUUGUGCACCAUCAGGAAAAAUAUCAACACAGUGAAAAAGGCAAUGAUGUAUGAGUAUUAUAAAGAUAAAUUUAACUUCAUGAACUCCAUGAAGGGGUCUUGGGUACCCCCAUCUCUACCCUAGGUUUCAUCAUGGAACUUUGAGAAUUGUUGAUUUAGUUUUUAGUGUCGAACAAAUAUAUUUUAUUUUGAAAGGAUAAAAUCUCCUCUCCUUCUCCCUCUCCCUCUCCCUCUCCCCAUGGUCUCCCUCUCUUUCCAUGGUCUCCCUCUCAUGCGGAGCCGAAGCUGGACUGUACUGCUGCCAUCUGGGCUCACUGCAACCUCCCUGCCUGAUUCUCCUGCCUCAGCCUGCUGAGUGCCUGCGAUUGCAGGCACGCGCCGCCACGCCUGACUGGUUUUGGUGGAGACGGGGUUUCGCUGUGUUGGCCGGCCGGUCUCCAGCCCCUAACCGCGAGUGAUCCGCCAGCCUCGGCCUCCUGAGGUGCCGGGAUUGCAGACGGAGUCUCGUUCACUCAGUGCUCAAUGGUGCCCAGGCUGGAGUGCAGUGGCGUGAUCUUGGCUCGCUACAACCUACACCUCCCAGCUGCCUGCCUUGGCCUCCCAAAGUGCCGAGAUUGCAGCCUCUGCCUGGCCGCCACCCCGUCUGGGAAGUGAGGAAUGUCUCUGCCUGGCCACCCAUCGUCUGGAAUGUGAGGAGCCCCUCUGCCUGGCUGCCCAGUCUGGAAAGUGAGGAGCGUCUCCGCCCGGCCGCCAUCCCAUCUAGGAAGUGAGGAGCGCCUCUUCCCAGCCGCCAUCACAUCUAGGAAGUGAGGAGUGUCUCUGCCCGGCCACCCAUCGUCUGAGAUGUGGGGAGCGCCUCUGCCCCGCCGCCCCAUCUGGGAUGUGAGGAGCGCCUCUGCCCGGCCGCGACCCCGUCUGGGAGGUGAGGAGAGUCUCUGCCCGGCCGCCCCGUCUGAGAAGUGAGGAGACCCUCUGCCUGGCAACCACCCCGUCUGAGAAGUGAGGAGCCCCUCCGCCUGGCAGCUGCCCCGUGUGAGAAGUGAGGAGCCUCUCCGCCCGGCAGCCACCCCAUCUGGGAAGUGAGGAGCGUCUCCGCCCGGCAGCCACCCCGUCCGGGAGGGAGGUGGGGGGGGUCAGCCCCCCGCCCGGCCAGCCGCCCCUUCCGGGAGGGAGGUGGGGGGAUCAGCCCCCCGCCCGGCCAGCCGCGCCGUCUGGGAGGGAGGUGGGGGGAUCAGCCCCCCGCCCGGCCAGCCGCCCCGUCUGGGAGGGAGGUGGGGGGGGUCAGCCCCCCGCCCGGCCAGCCGCCCCGUCCGGGAGGUGAGGGGCGCCUCUGCCCGGCCGCCCCUACUGGGAAGUGAGGAGCCCCUCUGCCCGGCCACCACCCCGUCUGGGAGGUGUGCCCAACAGCUCACUGAGAACGGGCCAGGAUGACAAUGGCAGCUUUGUGGAAUAGAAAGGCGGGAAAGGUGGGGAAAAGAUUGAGAAAUCGGAUGGUUGCCGUGUCUGUGUAGAAAGAAGUAGACAUGGGAGACUUUUCAUUUUGUUAGGCACUAAGAAAAAUUCUUCUGCCUUGGGAUCCUGUUGAUCUGUGACCUUACCCCCAACCCUGUGCUCUCUGAAACAUGUGCUGUGUCCACUCAGGGUUAAAUGGAUUAAGGGCGGUGUAAGAUGUGCUUUGUUAAACAGAUGCUUGAAGGCAGCAUGCUCGUUAAGAGUCAUCACCACUCCCUAAUCUCAAGUAAUCAGGGACACAAACACUGCGGAAGGCCGCAGGGUCCUCUGCCUAGGAAAACCAGAGACCUUUGUUCACUUGUUUAUCUGCUGACCUUCCCUCCACUAUUGUCCCAUGACCCUGCCAAAUCCCCCUCUGUGAGAAACACCCAAGAAUUAUCAAUAAAAAAAAAAUUUAAAAAAAAAAAAAAAAGGAUAAAAUCUGUCAAGUUGUCACUUUGUGAAGUUGUUCCUUUUUGGGUCUUGUUUAAUACAUUUUUCCUUAGCCAUAAUCACAAAAUAAUCUCCUAUUGUCUUCUGUUAACUUUAUACCUUUUAUAUUUUGACCUUCCAGUGAUGUCAAAUUCAUUUUAGAUUAUGAUGAGAGGAACAGAUCCAUCUUUAUUUUUCUUCAUAGAUUAAGGAGAAUUUCUCAAUAACAUUCAAUACAUAUUCCAUUAUUUUCUUACUGAGGGAGUAUUCUCAUAUAUUCUCAAUUACUAAGUUCUGUAUACACAUAGAUUGUUUUGGGUUUCUCCAUUUGGCUUAUUAUUAUUAUUUUUUGUUUAUCUUUUCUACACCAGUUUAACACCAUUGAACUCACCAAGGCUUUGUAAUAUAACUUAAAAUUAAGCAGGAAACAUCUCCUCUUUUUGUUUUCUUUUUCCAAAUCAUCUUAGCUUUGGUAGAUCCUAUUUUUCCCCUGGAUAAAACUUAGUUUAUCAAUUUUCUUCCCCCAAUCCUCCUGGAAUAUUCAUUAAAACUUCAUUGAAUAUAUAGAUUAAUUUGCAAAAAUUGGCAUCAAUAUUGUAAAGGUCUUUUUUAAUAGUUUCCUUUUAUCAUUUAAUAGACUUUAAAAAUAUAUUCUAUAAUAAUUUUGUACAUGGUUGAUUAUGUCCUGGCUACUUUAGAGUUUUGUUGCUACUAUAAAUAUUUAUUUCUAUUUUUGUUAUUUUUGAUGUGCUACUAUAUAUUGAUUUUUAUACGUUGAUUUUUGUAUUUGGAAACCUUGCUAAUUCUAAGAAUUAUCUGAUUCUCUUGAUCUUGUCUUUAUAGUAUCAUAUGUAAAAAUUUUAUACAAUAAUGUACAUAUGAUAAGUGGUAAUAUAGUUUAUAUUGUAAUACAAAUAAAAUACAUGUUACAACAUAAAUUGUUUUUAUUACUGUAUGAUUAUGAAAGUAUUCUUCUUUCUUAUACUUGUAAAUUAUUUUUCUUCUUUGAUUUGUUGAUUUGAACAUGCUCUAUCAUUUGUAAGAAAGAGGUGCUUUGACAGGGAGCAUCUUUUGCUUGUUUUGUGAAAUAAGAAGUUUAUUUCCUCUUUGUUUUCACCUUUCC
This 3505-nucleotide long non-coding RNA is filed under the name Homo sapiens (human). Its description in RNAcentral is "HSALNT0307778". The record is from RNAcentral. Lineage: Eukaryota; Metazoa; Chordata; Mammalia; Primates; Hominidae.